This 448-nucleotide long non-coding RNA is filed under the name Setaria viridis. RNAcentral describes it as "long non-coding RNA (SVIR_LNC004746)". The record is from RNAcentral. Lineage: Eukaryota; Viridiplantae; Streptophyta; Magnoliopsida; Poales; Poaceae.
UUUUGUAUAGAUUGCAUCAAAAAGUAGGGGAAAUUCUGCUGAAAUUUCGCUAACAAGUACCCUUUUUAUUUUCAACGGAAAUUUAACUAGAGUACAACUUCGAAGUGCAAUACAUUGCAAAAUAAACAUAGGUCGUCUACCACUUGCACGUCCAUACUUAAAGUGCAUCAUUACAUGACAACAUAAUAAAAGUCUCACAGUAGAAAAUAUAGUUCAUAAAUAAACCAUAGAAUUAGAAACUAAUUAUGACUACUGAGUGCAACGAGGCCACCUUCCCUACCUCAAGGCAUCGGGAUUCUCCUCAACCGCUGCUUUCGCUCGGCGUGCACGCUCAAGCUUCUUCUCCCUCUCCUCCCUGUUUGCAGCAACACGCCUCCUUUCCUCCUCUUCCUUGUGCUCCUUUUCCGCAACCUCCUCUCUGAGCCUCUUCUCGUACACCUCCUUCCUC